UAUCAUUAUUACUAGCAUAAAAGGUGGCCUC
RNAcentral lists this non-coding RNA (31 nucleotides) under Macaca fascicularis (crab-eating macaque). Lineage: Eukaryota; Metazoa; Chordata; Mammalia; Primates; Cercopithecidae. The record is from RNAcentral. RNAcentral also lists the same sequence under 1 other name.